UACGCAAACAAGUUUUUGCAACAGGCGGCGGAAAGAUGACUGUCUCUGAUGAUCCAAUAGCCGAAAGAGUCAAAUCUAUUAUUCAACCAUCGGUCGAUGGUUUAAAGAAUCCAUUUGAUAGCGAUCAUGUAAGAGAUGACUGGACUCCGGCAACUUUGCGUUCAAAGAAAAGUGCUGAAUUACAAGUUCCGGCAUACGACGAUGAAGAAGCUCCAGACUCGG
Long non-coding RNA from Pseudomyrmex gracilis, 222 nucleotides. RefSeq lists it as uncharacterized. The record is from RefSeq and is a predicted model, not a curated record. Lineage: Eukaryota; Metazoa; Arthropoda; Insecta; Hymenoptera; Formicidae. The transcript is spliced from 3 exons.